GCAUCGAUAGCUCAGUGGCAGAGCGGUUUUACAUGCGGCCCGGGUUCGAUCUCCGGUCGAUGCA
Phthorimaea operculella (potato tuberworm) is the source of this 64-nucleotide non-coding RNA. Lineage: Eukaryota; Metazoa; Arthropoda; Insecta; Lepidoptera; Gelechiidae. The record is from the annotation of a GenBank genome assembly.